UGCUUUGAGUCUCCAAAAACGCUGAGCCGGCCCUGUGUCUAUUUCACCAUAUUGCUCCAUUAGAGGUAUUUUAUACAACACCAGAGAAGCCACACAUGAAGCAAAACACAACGCUAAUCCGGCUAAUUAGUUCAGUGCUGGAUGACACGGCUAUGGUUAGGUUUUCAUCACACUGAUUUCAUUACUAGCAUCUUAUGCAAUCGAAAUUGCCUAUGUAUCUUUCUUAUUUAUGUUUACAAUGAAUCAAUUUAUUGGAAAGGAGAACGAAACCCUAGCCCUAGCCUAGGGUUUUAGUCCAGUAGAUCCCAAUUACAUUUUAAUGGAAGAUUGAUUGCCUUUUUCAGUAAUGUGUGUUGUUUCUUCUGAUCUUAAGUAAUAUAUGCUUUGAUGGUGUUGUAUGUGCCAUUGAUUCAUCUAUCGCCGUUUUCGCCUCCAAGUUGGUGGUCUAUAAAAUAUCCCUCUCUUUUAAAAAAAGUAUAUUUGUUUCAUUCAGUUGAUCGCCUAUAUACACUGUUCUAGCGAGUUUUUGGCCUGUCUCCUGCCCGAAAAUGAUGGUGUGUUGCUACUUGAUAUGGCAACUCCGGUUGCAUCCAUGACACAACUGAGCUGGCUAUUUUUGACGACGAUGAGGAAGCGUGCUUCUGACCUAUUUUCCCCUUUUCAACGACCAUCAUGAUCUUUUUAGAUCUGAGUCAAUUGGUGUUGAUGAUUUCGUUUUGGUCACUAAAGUUUAAGGCAAAAUAUUGUUCUAUUUUCAAUUAUGCUUAAUGUUCCACUUUAAAACAUCUGUUUUUGGUAUUUUAAUUUUGGUUUUGUUAUCAUGGUCAUGGUGAUACUUGAGACUUUAAAAGUUGACUUUUUUUAAUCAAUUUAUGGUGUUAACUGCCAAGACUAACAGUACCUAACAGCUGUGUAUCAGCUGUGUAUCAGCUGCGUAUCAGACAAAGAGCAGCGUAUAGGCUGAAAGAAUGAUAACAUAAACGGCCUUGCCACCUCUUUGUCAACCUGUUUGAAUAGGUGUAUAAGCCUAGGGAUGAGCUCGGUUUCAACUGAUACCGAAAAUCCCAAAAAUUGGGUAUCAGUACUGGUAUUUGUAGGUAAAAACCGGUACCGAAAACGCUAAAUGUCGGUACCAAUAAUAUCAUGGUUUGGUAAAUUCGGUACAAGUACAAGUACCUAUACCGGUAUCCGGUAUCAUUUGCUCAUCUCUAGUUAUGUUUUGUCAACCCGUUCGAAUAGGUGUAUAAGCUAUAACAAAUAUUUUGUAAAAGAAACAGUUUUGACAUUUUAAGUGUUGGUUAAAGUCUUAAAGAAACGACUUUGACUUUUUAAAGUAAACUUUGAAGCUACAGAUUUCAUUAUGUUAUUGAACCUUGAAGUGUAUAAACAUAACAGCAGCGUAUUAUAUGCCAUGAUAAGUUUUGUUGACCCGUUUGAAUAGGCAAUCACGAUUAAAACAUUUUGUUUUCCCCCUUACUCAUUAUCAAAUUGCCAUACUCGAAGGGAAACCAAGCACGGCCAGAGGAUCGCAACUUCAACUCCUUCAAUUGACACUUCGAUUGAAAAAAGAAUAUAACUCUGGUGAUUUAGGUCAGUAAUUAGUAAAAAUUAAAAAAAUAUGUUCAAAUGGUCAACAAUGUGUGAUUGUGGGUAUAUGUGCAACAAUCGAGAUGCAUUUCUGUGAUUUUUACCAGUUUGAAUUGAAACUUCGUUGUUGUUUUGUUUAUCAGUGUGUGCAUGUGCAAUGAUCAAGUUAGUUGAUCAUAAAUGCAUUUUGUUUGUUCAUGAAUUAUUCACUGAAUUUUAGAUGGCCGACGAAAUACGUGAAUCGGGUCGGAUUACGUGUCAGAUCAUGAUCAUGCUCUGUUAAUGUUUGAAUGUAAACGGGUUCAAGUCAGAAUGGGUCAAUUUAAAAAAGGCAUCAUUUUGUCAUUUGGUCAAAUUGGAGCUCAGACUUUUGCAUUCAGUGAGCUUGUAGCUAUUCAUCGUAUUUUUAGCCCUGGUUGUUUUUUAGGGGAGGGUGGGUUUGGAUCAAUGUAUAGAGGGCAAAUUCAGGGAAGUGGUCUGAUACGUAUUGGAACUUGGAAGGUAAACAUUAAAAAUAAUGGUGAUUAUAUGUAUAAAUACUCAUUUUUUUAAGUCAGUUGUUUUUUUUUUGUCUGGUUAUUUUCAUUCUGUAACUGUUACGACUGGCGGGUUUGGGAAUUCUGUGAAGGUGAGUGUAGAGUUGGUGGUUGAGGCUGUGAAUCUCGAGCCUGCUAGCCAGCCGUUUGAGGUGGUGUGCCACCCUCGCGCAAGCACGCCUGAGUUCUGAGUGAAAGCGUCAACUGUAAACGCAGCAAUGCGGAUUCAGUGGUCUCCAGAAAUAAGGCUCAAGAUGGCUUUAGAUAAAAAAGGAUUAGUCGCGAAUUAGCUGGUUCAUGGGCACGAUUUCUUUGUUUGAUGUAAAAGAUCAGUUUCGUUGGCUGAAUUCACCUUGGAGGCUUCGUGAGGGAUACUCUUUAUAGAGUACGCUUUAUGAGUGAGAUAUUAAUGAAUACGUAUUUAUAAGUAGCUGGGAUGAACCCGAUUUGCUACAAAACGUGAAACGGGUCAGGGGCCGUGGUUAGUUGAGUUGGUGUCGUAUGUGCCAUUGAUUCAUCUUUCGCCGUUAAUGGCCGUAAUGUUAUGGUUGGAGAGGCUAAAAGAAGCAGAGUAACAAUUAUAGAGCUGCUACAACAAAGCCUAGAACAACAUGCUGCAAGUGUACUGUUUUCUUCAACUAUAACCAACAAAAGGACCGUCAUAUAAGAUAUCGGAUUUACUUCGUAUCUGCCAACAAUUUAAAAAUGGAUGCAAUGUUUUUUUACACCCUUAACCUACGUACAAGCUGUCUCAUUUAAAUCUAUUUCUUAGUAAUAUGUCAACCCGCAUCUUUUGUUUUGUACAUAAUCAUAUCGCUCUACGGACUACAUGUUAAUAGCUAAUUCUGCAGUAUAGCAGGUUGUUUUUAGUAUUGUACUUCACUGGUAAGACUACAUAUUGCACACAUACAUGUAAAGUAUGCCGCUGCAUCAUGCGGGCAGACCUGCUAGUUCAUAUUUA
Molecule: long non-coding RNA, 3084 nt
Organism: Helianthus annuus (common sunflower)
Lineage: Eukaryota; Viridiplantae; Streptophyta; Magnoliopsida; Asterales; Asteraceae
Exons: 3
Source: RefSeq, a predicted model, not a curated record